RNAcentral lists this ribosomal RNA (274 nucleotides) under uncultured bacterium. Its description in RNAcentral is "partial 16S ribosomal RNA". It matches the Rfam family "Bacterial small subunit ribosomal RNA", at positions 523 to 796 of the family's 1533-position model. The record is from RNAcentral.
AUACGGGGGGGGCAAGCGUUGUCCGGAAUUACUGGGCGUAAAGCGUACGUAGGCGGUUGGUUAAGUUAGAUGUGAAAGCCCCGGGCUUAACCUGGGAACUGCAUUUAAAACUGGCGAACUAGAGUUGAGUAGAGGGGAGUGGAAUUUCAGGUGUAGUGGUGAAAUGCGUAGAGAUCUGAAGGAACACCAGUGGCGAAGGCGACUCCCUGGACUCGAACUGACGCUGAGGUACGAAAGCGUGGGUAGCAAACGGGAUUAGAAACCCGAGUAGUCC